UAUUUUAUGCAGCAAUGGCAGCAAUUGACAAUUAUGUCAUGAUUAUGUCGUUGACACCUAUUUCCAUCCUAUUUCUUAGACGUUUUAUAUUAUAUCUUGUGUUUUAAUGGUGUAGCUUGUAGCUAAUUGCUUUUUGACCGUUUAGAUGAUUUAACAGAUGCACUGAAGUUAAUUUUCAUCUUACUAGAACAGCACAUCCUACAUAAUAAGAAGACUGUUGCAACUUGGUUGCAAUUUUCAGCAUCCUUCAGUUUAUGAAAUUCGUCAGUAAAUAUUCAUACAGUUCUAUGAUGGAUCAGUGGUGCUCAUCAUUUAAACAGUCACAAUCAGAUUUAAAGUGUUUCCAAUUCUUGUUUGGCUUUCUCUCCACCCUUGUAAAACUUUGGAACGUUGCAUGCUGCAGUUAACUAAGAUCAAGAAAGUAGAGAUGACAAAGAAGACAUAGUCAGAAUGAGAAACACUAAAACAUGUUAUCUUUCUUCCUGUGUUUGCCUUACUCUUUACAUUUGGAAUGUUGCAUUCUGCAGUUAAUUAAGAUCAUUGGUGCAGAAGACAAACAGGACACCCACAUUUGAAUGUUUUUUUUUUUAUUCAAUCUUUUUCUGCAUGAUUUUUAAUUGAAUUAAUUUUUGGUUUGCAUGUUUU
This 645-nucleotide long non-coding RNA is filed under the name Agrilus planipennis (emerald ash borer). RNAcentral describes it as "uncharacterized LOC108741145, transcript variant X2". Lineage: Eukaryota; Metazoa; Arthropoda; Insecta; Coleoptera; Buprestidae. The record is from RNAcentral.